Molecule: signal recognition particle RNA, 100 nt
Filed under: Deltaproteobacteria bacterium
Lineage: Bacteria; Pseudomonadati; Myxococcota; Myxococcia
Also listed under: 1 other name
Description: signal recognition particle sRNA small type
Rfam family: Bacterial small signal recognition particle RNA
About the family: The signal recognition particle (SRP) is a universally conserved ribonucleoprotein involved in the co-translational targeting of proteins to membranes. Archaeal SRP consists of a 7S RNA and homologues of the eukaryotic SRP19 and SRP54 proteins. In most bacteria, the SRP consists of a 4.5S RNA and the Ffh protein (a homologue of the eukaryotic SRP54 protein).
Source: RNAcentral
AGCCGGGUCCUGUGCAAGGCGGUCCCGUAAACCCCGUCAGGUCCGGAAGGAAGCAGCGGUAGCGGUUGUUACCCCUGUGCCACAGGGAAGCCUGGCUGUC